RNAcentral lists this ribosomal RNA (465 nucleotides) under Vreelandella stevensii. RNAcentral's name for it is "partial 16S ribosomal RNA". It matches the Rfam family "Bacterial small subunit ribosomal RNA", at positions 338 to 795 of the family's 1533-position model. Lineage: Bacteria; Pseudomonadati; Pseudomonadota; Gammaproteobacteria; Oceanospirillales; Halomonadaceae. The record is from RNAcentral.
CCUACGGGUGGCUGCAGUGGGGAAUAUUGGACAAUGGGCGAAAGCCUGAUCCAGCCAUGCCGCGUGUGUGAAGAAGGCCUUCGGGUUGUAAAGCGCUUUCAGUGGGGAAGAAAGCCUUGGGGCUAAUACCCUCGAGGAAGGACAUCACCCACAGAAGAAGCACCGGCUAACUCCGUGCCAGCAGCCGCGGUAAUACGGAGGGUGCGAGCGUUAAUCGGAAUUACUGGGCGUAAAGCGCGCGUAGGCGGUCUGAUAAGCCGGUUGUGAAAGCCCCGGGCUCAACCUGGGAACGGCAUCCGGAACUGUCAGGCUAGAGUGCAGGAGAGGAAGGUAGAAUUCCCGGUGUAGCGGUGAAAUGCGUAGAGAUCGGGAGGAAUACCAGUGGCGAAGGCGGCCUUCUGGACUGACACUGACGCUGAGGUGCGAAAGCGUGGGUAGCAAACAGGAUUAGAUACCCCGGUAGUC